Non-coding RNA from Paramuricea clavata, 796 nucleotides. The record is from the annotation of a GenBank genome assembly. Lineage: Eukaryota; Metazoa; Cnidaria; Anthozoa; Malacalcyonacea; Plexauridae.
CGAACCUGAGAUAACUGGAAAGUGGAAAAUGCAUCCUGUCUGGAUUCACAUUGUGAUAUCUCGUUCAUCACCACCACUAGGAAAUUAUUCAUUUCCAUCGCUUCUUUCACCAACAGCUCACAAAUGCCAGUAUAAUACUCCGAGGGUGUCACCACAGUUGAUGCAUGACUUCUACAACAAUCAACCACCAUCUCCACCCAUUGUGGACCAUUGUGCGUAUAUUUACCAAAGCCGGCCAAAUCGCGCAUCAAUGAUUCUAGAUCACUGCCAACUUGACGUUUUAAAAACUCUUUAGGCCCGCCAUUCUCUAAACAAGUGGUUAAAACUUUGCUUAGAUGUUUCAUUUGCUUUGUUAAACUUUCAUGGCUUUCUUGUGCGAGGUUUUUACGUGAAUUACUGCUAGGAAUGAACAGAAUCUUCCCAUCUCGUCGCAGGUAAAUCGUCUCGACUGCAAAUGUUACUUCACAACAGCUCAACACGAUUGCAUCGCUGGCAGUAUUCCCCGGAUAAUUCAAUAAACUUUGACCUACUCCAAAGCACAAAGCCCAAACCUGCUCUUCCUCUAAAGGUUUGGAAACACAAUCUAACAGCUGAGAUAGCAACAAUCCGUACUUGUGUUUAGGCAUUGCUAGACUAAGUUUAAACACACAAAACGUUUUCCUGCAUACAGCAUGGUUAUUCUGAUCUGCAUCCACCUUAUUUAUGCCUUUUAUACCGGAUUGAACGCCUUUUACUCGGUUUUAGGAAUACAAAAGUAAACUGCACCUUUGGGGUUUGCAAAGACAAUGUAGGAACU